Molecule: non-coding RNA, 158 nt
Filed under: fish gut metagenome
Description: Lysine riboswitch
Rfam family: Lysine riboswitch aptamer
About the family: Riboswitches are metabolite binding domains within certain messenger RNAs that serve as precision sensors for their corresponding targets. Allosteric rearrangement of mRNA structure is mediated by ligand binding, and this results in modulation of gene expression.
Source: RNAcentral
UAAAGAUAGAGGAGCGAAACGCAUCAGUAACUUAGGGAGAGGGAUCUAUGAACUAAGCGAAAGGGCUAACGCCGAAAUGGAAAGGUAGCCAUACUUUUCUGUUGGGUCAGCAACGAAAGUUGUUGAACUGUCGUUAUAUUAAUAACGGGGUGCUAUCU